Molecule: long non-coding RNA, 500 nt
Organism: Gadus morhua (Atlantic cod)
Lineage: Eukaryota; Metazoa; Chordata; Actinopteri; Gadiformes; Gadidae
Source: Ensembl
GCGACAUAUAGAUAGGACUGCUAAUCUUACAAGCAUUCUCAAGAUCGAUUGUCGGCAGUAGUUCUAUUCAUUCUAUCGCUGUAACUUUUCUCUCGUGUUGCUAUGGACAAGUUGUUUGACCUGGAUCUCCGUGACCCCCGCACAGAAGGAAGACACCUUGCCGUUGGGUUGAUGCAUGACCAAUUCCUUGCAGAAGCCAUGGAGGCUGCGGAGAAUGUCAAUCGGGCAAGAUCUGGAGGGGAUUCACCACGGAGCUCAACCAAACGGAGCGGACGCGGCAAGGCCAGAGGGAGACGUGGAGGCCGUGCGGGCCAUACAGGCCGUGCAGACCGAUGGAGUGGCCUAACUACAGGCAUGGACACUGAGGUGUUGGCACUUCCUUCAGAGGAUUCCUUGCCCUUACCCAGAGCACAGCAAAAUCCUCAAGAGAUGUUUGAACAAAACAUGGAGAGGCUUUCUGCCCUACUGGAUUCAAGCCCCUGUCCUGCUGAGCCUGAGAG